GAUGAAGAACGCAGCGAAAUGCGAUAAGUAGUGUGAAUUGCAGAAUUCAGUGAAUCAUCGAAUCUUUGAACGCACAUUGCGCCCUUUGGUAUUCCUUAGGGCAUGCCUGUUCGAGCGUCAUUUAAACCUUCAAGCUAAGCUUGGUGUUGGGUGACUGUCCGCUUCACGGCGGACUCGCCUCAAAAUUAUUGGCGGCCGGUACAUUGGCUUCGAGCGCAGCAGAAACGCGAACUCGGGCCCGUCGUAUUGGCUCCCAGAAGCUAUCUUCACAAUUUUGACCUCGGAUCAGGUAGGGAUACCCGCUGAACUUAAGUAUAUCAAUAAGCGGAGGA
Molecule: unclassified non-coding RNA, 332 nt
Filed under: soil metagenome
Description: partial contains 5.8S ribosomal RNA, internal transcribed spacer 2, and large subunit ribosomal RNA
Rfam family: 5.8S ribosomal RNA (bases 1-120)
Source: RNAcentral